AAUUUUAGAAAUAGCAAUUGAGGCCAAUAAAUAGUUUGCUUGCUUGCUUGCUUGCUUCCUUUCUUUAAAAUAUGCCAGAUAAUUUUAGUUUCUAACUGAAAUACUGAAGCUGCUUCUUUCCAAUCUCCUUGUGUUUCUUCUGAAAUAGCUCCAGUGAUGCUACUUUUCAAGAGGUAGAAGGUUUGGAGGCAUCUUGCUGUGGUGUUUUAUUUUGUUUCUCCAUUUUUUUCUCCUCUCUACUUCCGUGAAUGAAGUGAUUAGCUACAGCUAUAGGGUAGGUGGAGAAAAAGAAAAAUGCUUAUUUCCUUUUUGGUUGACUCUCAGGAACACCAGAUUGCCAUCCCAGGGGAACAGAAUGCAACCCGGGAUCUAGAGAGCUGUCACAUUCCAAGAAAUAUUUAAAUUGUGCUGAUUUUCUUCUGGAGAACUGAGCCCAGGGAAUGAAACUCUCCAUCAAGUCAUGGCUUUGCGGGCAAUAGAUCAGAGGAUAUUGCCAGUUUUCUAAUGGAUUAUUGUUAUCGGGCAGAUUUUCUCUGAAGGUACGUAGUUAUUUUCUCAAUUCAUUACCCUCUCUUCUUUAUCAGGUAAUAAUCUAAUGAGCUAGGAAUCCAAACCUGUAAAAAGAGAAAGAUGUUAAGUAGUCAGUAUUGACUAAAGAAUGACACUUUAUUGCUACAUGUUUAUAGGUGAAAUAAUCUGAUUCCUUUACUAAAGAUUAGUAAAAUAUAGUUUGAAUUGCAUUGUCAGCAGAAACAGGAAAAAUCACAACAAAACCGUGCUGCAGGCUGCAUUAUCAUAAGUUCAUAUUAAUUCUCUUGAGGAUUUUCCUUUUGUAGCUGCAACAUAUAAUAAAGAAAAAUAUGUACUUUGGACACUCACUUAUCCAUAUGGAAUUUUGAAUCUUUUAAAAAAAUCAUAGUAUUUUCUCUGUAUUUUCCCAAAUACAAACUUUGUAUCAAAUGCUUGUAUUUAUUUUGGUAACAUGGAUAGAUAUGAUAUAUAAAUAUUUGAAUGAUGAAAGUAUUUAAUUCAAAGAAACUUCAGUAGAAGUGUUUUUGAGGAUAUUAUGUUGAUGUACUUUGUUUGCCUUACAGAUAUUUAUUUUUGAGUUUGAAAGGAUUUUACUAAAAUUGAUUGCUACAGUUUUAGUUAAAUACGCUACAAAAUUAUUAUUUAACUUUGUUCUGCUAGUGAAAACCUCAAUACAUUUCAUAGUAGAAUAACUGUUUAGCAAAGCAAAAUGUUAAAAGCUGAAAAACUUCUGAAUAUCAACAGAACCAAUAAAAUGGGAGAAAGCCUAUUCUAAACUGAAAUGUAUACUAUUAUACUUAUGACAUCUUAAAACAGCAAAGGUGACUUCUGUGUCUGUUUCUGAAAAGUUAAAGGUUUGUGUGUUUGUUCUGUGUCAGAGAGAGAAUGAGAGUAGAAUAGAAAAGAAACAUGUAAUAAUCACAGUAAGCUUAUAAACGCGUAGUAGUAGGGCAUUUGAUGUUUUUAUUAAUAUUUUAUUAUUGUGUGCAUAGGCUGAGUGAAAUCUAUCAUGUCGUU
This 1548-nucleotide long non-coding RNA is filed under the name Callithrix jacchus (white-tufted-ear marmoset). RNAcentral describes it as "lncRNA (ENSCJAG00000085534.1)". Lineage: Eukaryota; Metazoa; Chordata; Mammalia; Primates; Cebidae. The record is from RNAcentral.